RNAcentral lists this non-coding RNA (23 nucleotides) under Mus musculus (house mouse). The record is from RNAcentral. Lineage: Eukaryota; Metazoa; Chordata; Mammalia; Rodentia; Muridae.
UGGUUCUCACAGAAGGACACAGC